GUAGGUGGCAAGCGUUGUCCGGAAUUAUUGGGCGUAAAGCGCGCGCAGGCGGUUCUUUAAGUCUGAUGUGAAAGCCAACGGCUCAACCGUGGAGGGUCAUUGGAAACUGGAGAACUUGAGUACAGAAGAGGAAAGCGGAAUUCCACGUGUAGCGGUGAAAUGCGUAGAGAUGUGGAGGAACACCAGUGGCGAAGGCGGCUUUCUGGUCUGUAACUGACGCUGAGGCGCGAAAGCGUGGGGAGCAAACAGGGAUUAGAUACCCUGGUAGUCCACGCCGUAAACGAUGAGUGCUAAGUGUUAGGGGGGUUUCCGCCCCCUUAGUGCUGCAGCUAACGCAUUAAGCACUCCGCCUGGGGAGUACGGCCGCAAGGCUG
RNAcentral lists this ribosomal RNA (374 nucleotides) under uncultured organism. Its description in RNAcentral is "partial 16S ribosomal RNA". It matches the Rfam family "Bacterial small subunit ribosomal RNA", at positions 527 to 896 of the family's 1533-position model. The record is from RNAcentral.